Molecule: ribosomal RNA, 468 nt
Filed under: uncultured bacterium
Lineage: Bacteria
Description: partial 16S ribosomal RNA
Rfam family: Bacterial small subunit ribosomal RNA
Source: RNAcentral
GACGAACGCUGGCGGCGUGCUUAACACAUGCAAGUCGAACGGAAAGGCCCUGCUUUUGUGGGGUGCGCGAGCGGCGAACGGGUGAGUAACACGGUAGUAACCGGCCCUUGACUUUGGGAUAACUUCAGGAGACUGGGGCUAAUACCGGAUAGGAGCUCACGCUGCAUGGUGGGGGUUGGAAAGGUUCGGCGGUUGGGGUUGGACUCGCGGCGUAUCAGCUUGUUGGUGGGGUAGUGGCUUACCAAGGCUUUGACGAGUAGCCGGACUGAGAGGGUGACGGGCCACAUUACGCCUCCAGUACGCCCCAGACUCGUACGGUAGGCAGCACUGGGAAAUAUAGCGCAAUGGGCCGAAGCAUGAUACCGCAACACAACGAGCGGGCUGUUGGCCUUCGCGUUAUAGACCGCUUCCCCAUGUGACGAAGCGUCAGUGACGGUACUGUGUAAAAAAGCACCGGCUAACUACGUG